AGCCUAACCCCGGUAAGCAAUUGCCGGAUAUGGCUAAAAGACCCAAUGACGACACUGAACCCCACGUUCAGCGACUCGUCAUUGGGCUGCAUCGGGAAACUGAUGUAGGGCCGCAAGGCCU
RNAcentral lists this small RNA (121 nucleotides) under unclassified sequences. RNAcentral describes it as "LOOT RNA". It matches the Rfam family "LOOT RNA". From Rfam's summary of the family: Latescibacteria, OD1/Parcubacteria, OP11, TM7. Lineage (Microgenomates, aka OP11) The record is from Rfam by way of RNAcentral.